This 253-nucleotide ribosomal RNA is filed under the name uncultured bacterium. Its description in RNAcentral is "partial 16S ribosomal RNA". It matches the Rfam family "Bacterial small subunit ribosomal RNA", at positions 524 to 776 of the family's 1533-position model. The record is from RNAcentral.
UACAGAGGGUGCGAGCGUUAUUCGGAAUUACUGGGCGUAAAGCGCGCGUAGACGGCUAUUUAAGUCGGGUGUGAAAGCCCCGGGCUCAACCUGGGAAUUGCAUUCGAGACUGAAUAGCUAGGGUACGGUAGAGGGAAGCGGAAUUUCCGGUGUAGCGGUGAAAUGCGUAGAUAUCGGAAGGAACACCAGUGGCGAAAGCGGCUUCCUGGACCAGUACCGACGUUCAGGCACGAAAGCGUGGGGAGCAAACAGG